AGUUUCACUCUGGCUCCUAGGCUGGAAAGCACUGGCACCAUCUCAGCUCUCUGCAACCUCCACUUCCCAGGUUCAAGCGAUUCUCCUGCCUCAGCCUCCCGAGUAGCUGGGACUACAGGCGAGCACCACCACAGCCGGCUAAUUUUUCUAUUUCUAGUAGAAAUGGGGUUUCACCAUGUUGGCAGGCUGGUCUCGAACUCUGACCUCAAGUGAUCUGCCUGCCUCAGCCUCUGAAAGUGCUGGAUUGCAGGCGUGAGCCACCGCACCAGGCCUAAACAGAUUUCUUUACAAUCUACCACCAUGAACAGCAAGCAUUAGCAUUGCUCCAUCCCACCCAGCAGCCCGCAGAGAAAGGAGGCAGCUGGCACCACACUGGGCUUUGGAGACACUGCGGGGACUGUGGACCCCACCCUGCUGCACGGAGCUCCUGCAAAAGCAAACCUGAGGACCUUG
This 453-nucleotide small RNA is filed under the name Pan troglodytes (chimpanzee). Its description in RNAcentral is "processed transcript". The record is from RNAcentral. Lineage: Eukaryota; Metazoa; Chordata; Mammalia; Primates; Hominidae.